RNAcentral lists this ribosomal RNA (205 nucleotides) under uncultured bacterium. Its description in RNAcentral is "partial 16S ribosomal RNA". It matches the Rfam family "Bacterial small subunit ribosomal RNA", at positions 524 to 719 of the family's 1533-position model. The record is from RNAcentral.
GACAGAGGAUGCAAGCGUUAUCCGGAAUGAUUGGGCGUAAAGCGUCUGUAGGUGGCUUUUCAAGUCCGCCGUCAAAUCCCAGGGCUCAACCCUGGACAGGCGGUGGAAACUCCAAGCUGGAGUACGGUAGGGGCAGGAGGGAAUUUCCGGGUUGGGAGCGGGUGGAAAAUGCAUUUGAGAUCGGGAAAGAACAACCAACGGCGAA